AGGAAUACAUCGGAAUCUACUUUUUCGUGGGGGAUAACGUAGGGAAACUUACGCUAAUACCGCAUACGACCUACGGGUGAAAGCAGGGGAUCUUCGGACCUUGCGCGAUUGAAUGAGCCGAUGUCGGAUUAGCUAGUUGGCGGGGUAAAGGCCCACCAAGGCGACGAUCCGUAGCUGGUCUGAGAGGAUGAUCAGCCACACUGGAACUGAGACACGGUCCAGACUCCUACGGGAGGCAGCAGUGGGGAAUAUUGGACAAUGGGCGCAAGCCUGAUCCAGCCAUACCGCGUGGGUGAAGAAGGCCUUCGGGUUGUAAAGCCCUUUUGUUGGGAAAGAAAUCCAGCUGGUUAAUACCCGGUUGGGAUGACGGUACCCAAAGAAUAAGCACCGGCUAACUUCGUGCCAGCAGCCGCGGUAAUACGAAGGGUGCAAGCGUUACUCGGAAUUACUGGGCGUAAAGCGUGCGUAGGUGGUCGUUUAAGUCCGUUGUG
RNAcentral lists this ribosomal RNA (491 nucleotides) under Stenotrophomonas maltophilia. RNAcentral's name for it is "bacterial SSU rRNA". It matches the Rfam family "Bacterial small subunit ribosomal RNA", at positions 109 to 596 of the family's 1533-position model. The record is from RNAcentral. Lineage: Bacteria; Pseudomonadati; Pseudomonadota; Gammaproteobacteria; Lysobacterales; Lysobacteraceae.